UCAAAGUUUACAUACCUAUCAUGUUCUUCUUCAGACUCACUUUGAUCAUCAUCAUCUUCUUCUUCUUCUUCUUCUUCUUCUUCUUCUUCUUCUUCAAUAAUGAGUACUUUCACUUAUUUUCCUUUAGAGGCUGAUCUUAUUCUCUUGGCAAGAGAGGAUUCAGAAGGAACUGAUUUGGAGGGCUUCUUAGAAGAAGCCCUAGGAUCCUUUGAUUUUGCAAGUGGAACCUCCAUAGUAGUGUUUCUUUCUUGAUGGACCAGUUCCAUGUCCUCUUCCUCCUCCUCAGUUAUAACUUCUGAACUUUCACAUAUCUUCCCUUUCCCCUUUUCUUUUCUUUUUCUCUUACUCUCCUCUAAGUCUUUCUGCAACUCAGCUUCACUCUCCCUAACCAUGCUUCUAGUUGUCCUAACCCUAUGAGCAGACUUGGGUGUUGAUGGUUUGGAUUUAUUGGUUGGUUUGGACGAAACAGGGGUCCUUUGUGAGGAAGCCUUGCAUUUCUUGGGAUCAUAACUAGCCCCAACCUU
This 524-nucleotide long non-coding RNA is filed under the name Nicotiana benthamiana. RNAcentral describes it as "long non-coding RNA (NBEN_LNC011710)". Lineage: Eukaryota; Viridiplantae; Streptophyta; Magnoliopsida; Solanales; Solanaceae. The record is from RNAcentral.